This 268-nucleotide ribosomal RNA is filed under the name uncultured Bacilli bacterium. Its description in RNAcentral is "partial 16S ribosomal RNA". It matches the Rfam family "Bacterial small subunit ribosomal RNA", at positions 74 to 339 of the family's 1533-position model. The record is from RNAcentral. Lineage: Bacteria; Bacillati; Bacillota; Bacilli.
UUGACGAUGGAUUACCAGUGAGCGGCGGACGGGUGAGUAACACGUGGGCAACCUGCCCUGGAGCGGGGAUAACAUCUGGAACAGGUGCUAAUACCGCAUGACUACUAAACCACAUGGUUUUAGUAUAAAGAAGGCUUCGGCUUUCACUCUAGGAUGGGCCCGCGGUGCAUUAGCUAGUUGGUAAGGUAACGGCUUACCAAGGCGAUGAUGCAUAGCCGAGUUGGGAGACUGAUCGGCCACAAUGGAACUGAGACACGGUCCAUACUCC